Molecule: small RNA, 572 nt
Filed under: Pongo abelii (Sumatran orangutan)
Lineage: Eukaryota; Metazoa; Chordata; Mammalia; Primates; Hominidae
Description: processed transcript
Source: RNAcentral
GGUCGCCGCGUUCCAUCGUCGCGCGGCCCUUCGGGCACCCGAGCCCGCAAUGUCGGGCCCCAACGGAGACCUGGGGAUGCCGGUGGAGGCGGGAGCGGAAGGCGAGGAGGACGGCUUCGGGGAAGCAGAAAGAUACAACUUGCUGGGGUAAAGCAGAGCUGGAAUUCAAACCCAAGUGCCCCGACCCCCGAGUCCAAUUCUGAGUUUCGGCUGUUACCAACCUGGAGGACCCUGGGCAGGUUCCUUCCUUCUGAGGCCUCGGUUUCCCUAGCUAUAUACCAUGAGGGGGUUGGACUUUAAGAUGCAGCUGAUUUCCCAGGACUCUGUCAUCUGUGAGGGUGGCUGGCUCUAGGCAACGGGUGCCCUUUCCCAGAACACAGGCACAUGUGCACCCAUAACCCAGAUACGCUCCUCCAGCUCCUCCACCGGCUGCUUCUCCCUUGGUCUCAAGCUGGCAGCCGAGUGUAUAAUACGCUGCCAUCAACUCCAUGCUGGACCAGAUCAACUCCUGUCUGGACCACCUGGAGGAGAAGAAUGACCACCUCCACGCCCGCCUCCAGGAGCUGCUGGAG